UCCAUGUGGCUCAGACGGUAAAGCGUCUGCCUACAAUGCAGGAGAACCAGGUUCAAUCCCUGGCUUGAGAA
RNAcentral lists this transfer RNA (71 nucleotides) under Bos taurus (domestic cattle). It matches the Rfam family "tRNA". From Rfam's summary of the family: Transfer RNA (tRNA) molecules are approximately 80 nucleotides in length. Lineage: Eukaryota; Metazoa; Chordata; Mammalia; Artiodactyla; Bovidae. The record is from Rfam by way of RNAcentral. RNAcentral also lists the same sequence under 1 other name.